GGGGAUGCAAGGUUUCGACAGGGGAGGAAGGUCAGGAAUCGCAAGCCGAGGAUGCCACUGGUCCUCGUAAAACAUGUGGCAAGCCGUAACUGGCAACAACCAACUAGCACUAGCCGCCUAACAAGGCCGGCUACGUCCAACCCGGUCUCGUUCCGGUGGGCCGGAAUUGGGCGCUGCAAUGCCGGAGUGCCGUAGCCCCGACCGCCGAUAAAGGCUACUCAAGACCAUCGGCUGGCGUCUACCUAGCUUCGUCGGCUGAGCUAGCGGACGCGAGAACAAAUAGCCGAACAAGCUUGUAGCACAUUCCUGGUUCAGUCUUCUGGACGGGGGUUCGAUUCCCCCCAUCUCCACUA
Molecule: transfer-messenger RNA, 353 nt
Filed under: Chloroflexota (GNS bacteria)
Lineage: Bacteria; Bacillati
Also listed under: 1 other name
Description: JACQUC01 sp016210495 Standard tmRNA
Rfam family: transfer-messenger RNA
About the family: Bacterial tmRNA, also known as 10Sa RNA or SsrA, is named for its dual tRNA and mRNA-like properties.
Source: RNAcentral